This 117-nucleotide non-coding RNA is filed under the name Homo sapiens (human). Lineage: Eukaryota; Metazoa; Chordata; Mammalia; Primates; Hominidae. The record is from Rfam by way of RNAcentral.
GCUGGGUGUGGUGGCUCACGCCUGUAAUCCCAGCACCUUGGGAGGCUGAGGCGGGUGGAUCACCUGAGGUCGGGAGUUCGAGACCAGCCUGACCAACAUGGAGAAACCCCGUCUCUA